UACGUAGGGUGCGAGCGUUGUCCGGAAUUAUUGGGCGUAAAGAGCUUGUAGGCGGUUUGUCGCGUCUGCUGUGAAAUCUCAAGGCUCAACCUUGAGCUUGCAGUGGGUACGGGCAGACUAGAGUGUGGUAGGGGAGACUGGAAUUCCUGGUGUAGCGGUGAAAUGCGCAGAUAUCAGGAGGAACACCGGUGGCGAAGGCGGAUCUCUGGGCCUUGCCUGACGCUGAGGCGCGAAAGCUAGGGGAGCGAACAGG
Molecule: ribosomal RNA, 253 nt
Filed under: uncultured bacterium
Lineage: Bacteria
Description: partial 16S ribosomal RNA
Rfam family: Bacterial small subunit ribosomal RNA
Source: RNAcentral